UAUGAUCCGUGUAUAUAGCAAAAUCCUAAAUACACCGUUUGGUGGUGCGCCUGUCAAAUGCGGAACGUACAGAUAAGGUAAUAGCUAACAGGUGAAUAUACUAUUGGUAUCGGUAUCGGAUUCGACCCGGAACUUGUUAAUUAUUGGCAAUAUUAAUUAUGUGGAAAACAAAAGGGUCUGGAGUGGUGUAAUUUUUAAUCUACACCAUUGUUCUAUAUUAGUUAUAUAUAGAGUUGAAUUCUUUGAUUUUUCGUUUUUACCCGAUGACGGCUGACAAAUUGGACCUCGUAAUUUUAGUAUUAUAGAUA
This 308-nucleotide long non-coding RNA is filed under the name Mytilus galloprovincialis (Mediterranean mussel). The record is from RNAcentral. Lineage: Eukaryota; Metazoa; Mollusca; Bivalvia; Mytilida; Mytilidae.